This 497-nucleotide ribosomal RNA is filed under the name uncultured bacterium. RNAcentral's name for it is "partial 16S ribosomal RNA". It matches the Rfam family "Bacterial small subunit ribosomal RNA", at positions 28 to 507 of the family's 1533-position model. The record is from RNAcentral.
GACGAACGCUGGCGGCGUGCCUAAUACAUGCAAGUUGAGCGCUGAAGGUUGGUACUUGUACCAACUGGAUGAGCAGCGAACGGGUGAGUAACGCGUGGGGAAUCUGCCUUUGAGCGGGGGACAACAUUUGGAAACGAAUGCUAAUACCGCAUAAAAACUUUAAACACAAGUUUUAAGUUUGAAAGAUGCAAUUGCAUCACUCAAAGAUGAUCCCGCGUUGUAUUAGCUAGUUGGUGAGGUAAAGGCUCACCAAGGCGAUGAUACAUAGCCGACCUGAGAGGGUGAUCGGCCACAUUGGGACUGAGACACGGCCCAAACUCCUACGGGAGGCAGCAGUAGGGAAUCUUCGGCAAUGGACGAAAGUCUGACCGAGCAACGCCGCGUGAGUGGAGAAGGUUUUCGGAUCGUAAAACUCCGUUGGUAGAGAAGAACGUUGGUGAGAGUGGAAAGCUCAUCAAGUGACGGUAACUACCCAGAAAGGGACGGCUAACUACGUG